RNAcentral lists this ribosomal RNA (254 nucleotides) under uncultured bacterium. RNAcentral describes it as "partial 16S ribosomal RNA". It matches the Rfam family "Bacterial small subunit ribosomal RNA", at positions 333 to 603 of the family's 1533-position model. The record is from RNAcentral.
UUGCCCCUACGGGAGGCAGCAGUGGGGAAUAUUGCACAAUGGGGGAAACCCUGAUGCAGCGACGCCGCGUGGGGGAGGAAGUACCUCGGUAUGUAAAGCCCUAUCAGCAGGGAAGAAACAGGACAGUACCUGACUAAGAAGCCCCGGCUAACUACGUGCCAGCAGCCGCGGUAAUACGUAGGGGGCAAGCGUUAUCCGGAUUCACUGGGCGUAAAGGGAGCGCAGGCGGCAUGGCAGGUCUGAUGUGAAACCCC